UACGGGGGGGGCAAGCGUUGUUCGGAAUUACUGGGCGUAAAGGGCUCGUAGGCGGCCAACUAAGUCCGACGUGAAAUCCCCAGGCUUAACCUGGGAACUGCGUCGGAUACUGGAUGGCUUGAAUUCGGGAGAGGGAUGCAGAAUUCCAGGUGUAGCGGUGAAAUGCGUAGAUAUCGAGAGGAACACCUGCGGCGAAGGCGGGUUGCUGGGCUGACACUGACGCUGAGGCGCGAAAGCCAGGGGAGCGAACGGG
RNAcentral lists this ribosomal RNA (253 nucleotides) under uncultured bacterium. Its description in RNAcentral is "partial 16S ribosomal RNA". It matches the Rfam family "Bacterial small subunit ribosomal RNA", at positions 524 to 776 of the family's 1533-position model. The record is from RNAcentral.